GCGCGAUGAGGAAGAAUAUCACAUACACACACUCCGAAUUCUGUGAGGAGAUAAUUAAGAACGGAUAUCUGAGCGC
This 76-nucleotide small nucleolar RNA is filed under the name Caenorhabditis japonica. Its description in RNAcentral is "snoRNA CJA48572". It matches the Rfam family "Caenorhabditis snoRNA ceN89". The record is from Rfam by way of RNAcentral. Lineage: Eukaryota; Metazoa; Nematoda; Chromadorea; Rhabditida; Rhabditidae.